AAAAAGUCAGAAAAAGCCAACUGAAUUUCUAAAAAAGCCAAAAUUCCCGCUUUUCCCCAAUUCCCGCAAUUCUCAAAUUUUUCCCGCAGUUAGCCUUCGAAAAAAGCCAGUUUUGAAGGGAAAAAAUCCAAAUUGGCAGCACUGGACGAAUGCCACAUUGAGAUUCAUCCAUCAUCUGACGAAGCUGUGGACUAUUAUAAUUAUAAAGGAUGGUAUUCCACCGUUUUAAUGGCAUUAGUUGAUGCUAAAUACCGUUUUACUUACAUAAACGUAGGAAGUCCCGGGCGAUGUAAUGACUCUCAAAUUUAUGAGACGUCAUCACUUAAAAAAGAAAUGGAUAGUUGUCCUUUACUAAGCGAAAUGUCUAGAGAAAUUUCAGGCGUAAAUGUGCCAGUAUUCAUUAUUGGGGAUUCGCCUUUUCGAUUUAGCAAAUAACUAAUGAAACCGUAUCCAUUUAGCGUAAAUCAAAAUAAUGGUGAGAAGGUAUUCAACUACGCUCUUUCGAAAACACGUAGAGUUGUCGAAAAUACUUUAAGACACCUCAAGGCCCGCUUUCGACGCGUCGGAAAAGGAAUUGACAACUCUGUACGGAAUGCCAACUCCAUAAUAAAAGCAUCUUGCGUCCUUCACAAUUUUUUAAAUGAUAACAACGAAACGCUAAAUGGUUAAGCGCUUUGGAAGAGUUGGAGACUAGACGCCAGAAUCCGUGUGAUAUUUCAUAUGCAUCUCCACGACCCAAUUAAUGGAGAAAUCGGACAGCACUUUGUACAUAUUUUGCAUCACUCGGCUCGGGAGACGGUACUGGUAGCGAAGAAGUAUCGCUUGGCGACAUCGGCAUAGCUGAGGGCGAUGGUAGGCAAACCGGUGAUGAC
Bactrocera neohumeralis is the source of this 872-nucleotide long non-coding RNA. RefSeq lists it as uncharacterized. The record is from RefSeq and is a predicted model, not a curated record. Lineage: Eukaryota; Metazoa; Arthropoda; Insecta; Diptera; Tephritidae. The transcript has 3 exons.